AGUGAACGCUGGCGGUAGGCCUAACACAUGCAAGUCGAACGGCAGCACAGUAAGAGCUUGCUCUUACGGGUGGCGAGUGGCGGACGGGUGAGGAAUACAUCGGAAUCUACUUUUUCGUGGGGGAUAAUGUAGGGAAACUUACGCUAAUACCGCAUACGACCUACGGGUGAAAGCAGGGGAUCUUCGGACCUUGCGCGAUUGAAUGAGCCGAUGUCGGAUUAGCUAGUUGGCGGGGUAAAGGCCCACCAAGGCGACGAUCCGUAGCUGGUCUGAGAGGAUGAUCAGCCACACUGGAACUGAGACACGGUCCAGACUCCUACGGGAGGCGGCAGUGGGGAAUAUUGGACAAUGGGCGCAAGCCUGAUCCAGCCAUACCGUGUGGGUGAAGAAGGCCUUCGGGUUGUAAAGCCCUUUUGUUGGGAAAGAAAAGCAGCAGGUUAAUACCCCGCUGUUCUGACGGUACCCAAAGAAUAAGCACCGGCUAACUUCGUG
Molecule: ribosomal RNA, 492 nt
Filed under: uncultured bacterium
Lineage: Bacteria
Description: partial 16S ribosomal RNA
Rfam family: Bacterial small subunit ribosomal RNA
Source: RNAcentral